Molecule: long non-coding RNA, 2695 nt
Organism: Coffea arabica (coffee)
Lineage: Eukaryota; Viridiplantae; Streptophyta; Magnoliopsida; Gentianales; Rubiaceae
Source: RefSeq, a predicted model, not a curated record
CCGGUUUUCUUAGGUGCCCGGAUGUCCUUCUUUGUGCGUUCCCACAUGGCACAAUUGGCCUCGUUGCAUUGCUUCUGCCUACUAUGGGCAGAAAAGUGAACUUUCCACCGUAGACGUAACCGUCAUUUGCCCAAUCAAUCAGCUUAAAUGAAAGUUGGAGAACUUUUAUUGAAGUCUGAUGGUUGCACUGCCACCAUUAACUGAAGGAAAAAUGAAUGAGGCAGCAGAGAGCUGGGGAGUUUCUAAAGGGUUGUUGCCCCUCUCUGUUUUCCUGCCUAUGAUUUCGGCAAUUCUUUUUGAAAAAAGAAAGAAAUUAACAUCCCUUUGCAGAAAUCAGAAACUGGAAAUGUUAUCAAACGAGGCCUGUUUGGAUUGGAGAUUAUUUCUGAAAGAUCUGCUGAGAUAGCAGUGCUUGUUUCAUCACCAACCUUAAUUCUUUGUUGUUGCUGCUGCUGCUCUGCUGUGUAGUCAUAAUUACUGAUGCCUUUUUGCAUUUGGGCGUUGAGGUUUGUGUAUAUUUCCGGGCAGUGACGAUGAAAAUCCUUUCUUGAGUUAUUGAUGGCGAAAUUCAUGGAGGUAAAUUCGAGCCCGUAUCUUGGCUGGGCAACCCAGAUGGCGUGUGGGAUGAGAUGGGUCUCAUCCGCAUAUGUAACUGGGAAUUUGCAGCCAUGGCGGUGUCUCCCUCCAUUUUGCCUCCACCUUUUACAGAUCUGAGCCUGAUUGAUCAUUGUAUGUAUCUUCUCUGUAUCUUUUAAUUACUCGAUUGUUUUUGUUUCAGUCUUGUGGUAUGUUGAUUUGUCGGUGGAUGAAUUCCAUUGGAAACAAUACAUUGAUGGACCUAGAAGCAUCAAGUCAUUAAGCCAGGAGCAACCAAGAAAUUUUAUGCAGCAAUUAUCUGUUAUGAAACAUUAAUUUUGACUUUUACCCCCUUGUCAUGUUAGUGACCAUCUUCGUUAGGGCUAAAGACCAGUUAAAAGAGUAUUUUCCCACCUCCUACUGUCUUGGUACUAGUUUUCCAUAUGUUUUGGGGCUCAACAAGCAGAAUCUGCAGUCAACCAUGAUUUGUUUGAUAUAAUUCGGUUUCUGUUUCAAUUUUGGUCUUAGGAAGUUGAUGCUGGUCAUGCAUUGAUUAAUUUCCGGGACAGAUAAGCACAUCUGAGUUCCAUAUAUUGGUAGUUUGAAAGGGGAUUAUUCAAUGGACAGAUCCUAAUUAGGAGACUAAAGACUAACGUAUCUCACUCUUCAAUCAUUUUGCAGCAAUCUUUGUUAUAUUAAUUUUACUGGUUUUGCACAUGGACUUAUGCUUUGCUUUAAUUACCCUGCUGCUAUAACGGUUUGCUUCAAUGGUAUCGCAUGAACAUCUCUGAGGACACUUUGGGCUUUGACAAUACAACUUCUGGUCAAGUUUGAACAUCAGGUGUGCUUUGUUUCUCUCCUGAGUCCCCCCCCCUCCCCCUUUCUGGUGUGUUGCAUGAUUUUGGUAGCAUUUUACUAAAUGCAGCAAAUUUCAGUUUCGAAAAUUUGCAGGAUCUUUAAAAGUCACUUUGGAUAAUUUGCACUGUGGUAUAUCUGAAGAGAGAUGAUGUCAAUAUGUAGUGAAAAAUUAGCAAAAUCCAUUUACAUUUUUAAAGAAGACAGAGCCUGAUUGUUCUUUAUUGCUGUCCUUUGCUGUUAGGUUUCGUUUCAAGGACAUAUUGAGGACAGCAAUAUAGGCUAAUGGUAGUCUCUCUGUUUGCAUAUCUAGAGUUUUGGUAGUUUAGUUUAGAGAUUUGAAGCUUCAAAUUUCACACUCCACAAGAAUGUUAUCAAAGACAAAGUGACCAACUGAUGUAGGGUAAAAUUGUUUUCCUGAUGUUUCUGGUGUAGCCUAUGAGAGCCUUAGCUAAUUCACUCUUUCCUUCUCUAGUGGGGAAAAACAAAGGAUGAUUGCAGAAUACAAAUACGUUAUUAGGUAUAACUAUUCUUUACAGAAUAUAUUUGGGUGUCUCUACAAGCUAAUAAAAUGACCUAGAAUUGCAAUUUGUACUCCAGCUGCAAUGUCUUGAACACUUCUUCGACGAACAUCCUGCUGCCAAACUUCAGUGGAAGUUCCAUUGUAGAGGUAUUGAUUCAUAAAUUCAUACUGCCUAUUAUCAUUCUGCUCCAAACGAUCCCAAACAGACCGCCUCUCGUCAUCUGCCUCCGUUGGGCCUCACCCAUGGAUGUUGAAUCCUAGCAUGUUUCCUUAAUUCAUCAUAAUUCCCAGAAAAAUCACAAGAUUCCAGAGCACAACCCCGUGUUCCCGAGUUCAUGUACGUGCGAGCACCUUGUACCACAAUCCAACCACUGAUGUUUCCCCGAGAAAGAGGGCACACAAGUUCAAGAACCCGUCUGUUUGCACAAGGAAAAGACCCGUUUGGUUGAUCAAUGGAAGUUGAUUUUGAUGGCGAUAACCCAUGCAAUUUACAGAACUGAUCAAAGCAAUUCGAAUGGAGGUAGCUUGUGUCACAGAUGAAUUCCUGGUUCUUUUGAGCAGAACUACUUUCCACAGAGUUCUUGCAAUUCCUGCUAUUAGUCUUUGAUUUGUUGCAAUUGUAAGGAAAUGUCCUUGAAUAUUGAUUGGAAGAUGAGGGGUUCAAUCUUUUGUCCUUCAGCAUCUUAAGAUGUUUGAUGGAUGCUUUUUAUAAGAGGAUUCAAGUUUGGUUUUCUUGAUCAA